UACGUAGGGGGCAAGCGUUGUCCGGAUUCAUUGGGCGUAAAGAGCGUGUAGGCGGCCUGGUAGGUCAGCUGUGAAAACUCGAGGCUCAACCUCGAGACGUCGGUUGAAACCACCUGGCUAGAGUCCGGAAGAGGAGAGUGGAAUUCCCGGUGUAGCGGUGAAAUGCGCAGAUAUCGGGAAGAACACCCGUGGCGAAGGCGGCUCUCUGGGACGGUACUGACGCUGAGACGCGAAAGCGUGGGGAGCGAACAGG
Molecule: ribosomal RNA, 253 nt
Filed under: uncultured bacterium
Lineage: Bacteria
Description: partial 16S ribosomal RNA
Rfam family: Bacterial small subunit ribosomal RNA
Source: RNAcentral